RNAcentral lists this long non-coding RNA (822 nucleotides) under Rattus norvegicus (Norway rat). Its description in RNAcentral is "long non-coding RNA NONRATT026385". The record is from RNAcentral. Lineage: Eukaryota; Metazoa; Chordata; Mammalia; Rodentia; Muridae.
GUCCCGCAUAGCUCAGCAGCCAAGAUGUGUGACUUCACCGAGGACCAGACCGCAGGUAGGCAGUCUCUGACCCACAACUGAGGUCACCCUUACCGAGAGGGACCCCUUCCUCUAGAUCCCAACCUGUCAUCUCCAGCACUCCCAGGAGGGUGCCCCGUGGAUUUCCUUCUCCUCGGCUCUAGAUCCUCCAUUUUCUUUCUCAUUCUUUCUUCCUUCCCCUUCCACUCUAGAUCUGAGCCCCAACCACUGGGUGAGUUUUGGGUGGUGUGGGUAUGUGAAACAAUGAUUACUGCCUGUUGUGUGUUGGGUCUCUUAUGCUUGUGUUCCGCUGCUUUUGCCUCUCCUGUGAUAACUGCCCCCUCCUUAAGCUUGGAUUGCCAAUACGGUAAAGAGCAGUGCCUUGAUAUUCUGUUGAGAUGGGGACUGGAGAGUUUGCUAAGCCCGUGGCUUAGCUUCACCCCCUGGAAGGUCUCUGGAAGGGAAGGGUGGGAAUGGGAAGCUAGAGUCCAGACCACUGCUCUACUUCCUUAUAUGGGCAGGACCUAGCCUGGGCGGUGGCAAAUUCCUGCCGAGCAGUGUAGUGGUGGUGGAGGGCCUAGCCUGCUGUAGCUCAGGGGGUGUGUAAGCGAUGGCUACCACCUUGAGGUAAGGAAGAAGGCUGCGUGUCUUUAUGCGGGGCAUUUGAGUUGAUAGAAAUUAGAUCCUUAGGCGCAGUCUUCGGUGUACAGGAGGACAAGAUAUCUGGUCUCUGCAGCAUGCUAGAGUUGAGUUGGCAGCAGCACUGGGUUAAUCCCUGGUGCUGCUGUUCAUCUGAAUCCUCAG